GGCACCUACGGGACGCAGCAGUGAGGAAUAUUGGUCAAUGGGCUUACGCCUGAACCAGCCAAGUCGCGUGAGGGAAGACUGCCCUAUGGGUUGUAAACCUCUUUUGUCAGGGAGCAACGCCGGCUACGUGUAGCCGGACUGAGAGUACCUGGAGAAAAAGCAUCGGCUAACUCCGUGCCAGCAGCCGCGGUAAUACGGAGGAUGCGAGCGUUAUCCGGAUUUAUCGGGAUUAAAGGGUGCGUAGGCGGAAUGCCAAGGCAGCGGUAAAAUCGCGGGGCUCAACCUCGCUCCGCCGGUGAAACUGG
This 305-nucleotide ribosomal RNA is filed under the name uncultured bacterium. RNAcentral describes it as "bacterial SSU rRNA". It matches the Rfam family "Bacterial small subunit ribosomal RNA", at positions 334 to 636 of the family's 1533-position model. The record is from RNAcentral.